This 488-nucleotide ribosomal RNA is filed under the name Escherichia coli. RNAcentral describes it as "partial 23S ribosomal RNA". It matches the Rfam family "Bacterial large subunit ribosomal RNA", at positions 1291 to 1776 of the family's 2925-position model. The record is from RNAcentral. Lineage: Bacteria; Pseudomonadati; Pseudomonadota; Gammaproteobacteria; Enterobacterales; Enterobacteriaceae.
CGAAUGCUGACAUAAGUAACGAUAAAGCGGGUGAAAAGCCCGCUCGCCGGAAGACCAAGGGUUCCUGUCCAACGUUAAUCGGGGCAGGGUGAGUCGACCCCUAAGGCGAGGCCGAAAGGCGUAGUCGAUGGGAAACAGGUUAAUAUUCCUGUACUUGGUGUUACUGCGAAGGGGGGACGGAGAAGGCUAUGUUGGCCGGGCGACGGUUGUCCCGGUUUAAGCGUGUAGGCUGGUUUUCCAGGCAAAUCCGGAAAAUCAAGGCUGAGGCGUGAUGACGAGGCACUACGGUGCUGAAGCAACAAAUGCCCUGCUUCCAGGAAAAGCCUCUAAGCAUCAGGUAACAUCAAAUCGUACCCCAAACCGACACAGGUGGUCAGGUAGAGAAUACCAAGGCGCUUGAGAGAACUCGGGUGAAGGAACUAGGCAAAAUGGUGCCGUAACUUCGGGAGAAGGCACGCUGAUAUGUAGGUGAAGUCCCUCGCGGAUGG